GUUCUCAUAGUGUAGCGGUUAUCACGUCGGCCUCACAUGCUGAAGGUCCUCAGUUCGAUCCUGGGUGAGAACA
Molecule: transfer RNA, 73 nt
Filed under: Daphnia magna
Lineage: Eukaryota; Metazoa; Arthropoda; Branchiopoda; Diplostraca; Daphniidae
Description: tRNA-Val
Rfam family: tRNA
About the family: Transfer RNA (tRNA) molecules are approximately 80 nucleotides in length.
Source: RNAcentral